Molecule: long non-coding RNA, 911 nt
Organism: Ochotona princeps (American pika)
Lineage: Eukaryota; Metazoa; Chordata; Mammalia; Lagomorpha; Ochotonidae
Exons: 3
Source: RefSeq, a predicted model, not a curated record
AGAAUCCACGCCCAUCGCCCCGCGCCGUGGCGCCAUCCCCCAGAUAAUUCAGGAAUGUGCCCCUUGGGCGACAAACAAGCCUCAUUGUGGAGCUCAUUGGUGUGGAGGAGUCCUCUCUCCACUGGGUGGCUAUGCUGGGUGCUGGGCGCGCCCCAAAUACCGCAAGAACGCUAAGUUCUUGGCUGGCUUGGCUUCCUUCCCCACUUAUCCUAGAAUGAUCCCUAGGCUUCCUUUCUUGCUGGCCGCUCAUCUUUACCGUCUCUCUCUGGAAGUCACUGUGGCCAGCUGGGACCUGCCUGACCCCUGUGCCUUGGUGACAUGGCCUGAGAAGUGCAAAAGUGUAGAGCCUUACCUUGUUGAGCUGCUCUGAGGAGUCCAAUCCCAGAAAUGCUGCCAGCAGCCCCGACAAGUCAGCCCACAUGGUGAAGGUGUCCACUCAUCACAGGAGAGUCCUCUAAUCUAAAGCAACAUGUAUAACCAAGAAAGGAGGGCUUAAUUUGAGAAAGCCAGCAGAGACACUAACUCUUUUCAUCCUAAUCAAAGCUGUCAGAGCCGGUUAGUGUCAGAGCCAGUCAGAUGGCCCCAAAGCCCGCCAUCCACCCUGCAGUCAUCCUAUCACCAAGGAAACCACACAUCAGUUAGCAGGGUCCCCAGGAGCCAGCCGGAAGCUCAGUUGCCUCACAUGUUUGUUGUUAUCAGCUCUUCCAAAGCACAGCAUCUUUUGCAAGAAAGAUUCUGUGAGACUUCUCCUGCCCCAGGCCCCCACUGUCUUCUGUUUCCCAAAGUUAAGAAUGCAUUCCCCUCUGAGAAAGACAUGUGCUGGCAGGCACAUGGGGAAGUUACUUGUCCACUCAGUGUCACACAAGGCAGACGGCUGCAUUGCCACCAGGACUGAUAUGGAGCAGCCCCAC